This 253-nucleotide ribosomal RNA is filed under the name uncultured bacterium. RNAcentral describes it as "partial 16S ribosomal RNA". It matches the Rfam family "Bacterial small subunit ribosomal RNA", at positions 524 to 776 of the family's 1533-position model. The record is from RNAcentral.
UACGGGGGGGGCAAGCGUUGUUCGGAAUUACUGGGCGUAAAGGGCGCGUAGGCGGCUUGCUAAGUUGAAUGUGAAAACUCUGGGCUUAACCCAGAGCCUGCAUUCAAUACUGGCAGGCUAGAGUUCUGGAGGGGAUAGCGGAAUUCCUGGUGUAGCGGUGAAAUGCGUAGAUAUCAGGAGGAACACCGGUGGCGAAGGCGGCUAUCUGGACAGAGUCUGACGCUGAGGCGCGAAAGCUAGGGGAGCAAACAGG